RNAcentral lists this ribosomal RNA (494 nucleotides) under uncultured bacterium. Its description in RNAcentral is "partial 16S ribosomal RNA". It matches the Rfam family "Bacterial small subunit ribosomal RNA", at positions 28 to 507 of the family's 1533-position model. The record is from RNAcentral.
GACGAACGCUGGCGGCGUGCCUAAUACAUGCAAGUCGAGCGGACUUAAAAAGCUUGCUUUUUAAGUUAGCGGCGGACGGGUGAGUAACACGUGGGCAACCUGCCUGUAAGACUGGGAUAACUUCGGGAAACCGGAGCUAAUACCGGAUAAUCCUUUUCUACUCAUGUAGAAAAGCUGAAAGACGGUUUACGCUGUCACUUACAGAUGGGCCCGCGGCGCAUUAGCUAGUUGGUGAGGUAACGGCUCACCAAGGCGACGAUGCGUAGCCGACCUGAGAGGGUGAUCGGCCACACUGGGACUGAGACACGGCCCAGACUCCUACGGGAGGCAGCAGUAGGGAAUCUUCCGCAAUGGACGAAAGUCUGACGGAGCAACGCCGCGUGAGUGAUGAAGGUUUUCGGAUCGUGAAACUCUGCUGUUAGGGAAGAACAAGUACGAGAGUAACUGCUCGUACCUUGACGGUACCUAACCAGAAAGCCACGGCUAACUACGUG